Molecule: ribosomal RNA, 201 nt
Filed under: uncultured bacterium
Lineage: Bacteria
Description: partial 16S ribosomal RNA
Rfam family: Bacterial small subunit ribosomal RNA
Source: RNAcentral
ACGCUCGACACCUACGGGGCAGCAGUCGGGAAUAUUGCGCAAUGGAGGAAACUCUGACGCAGUGACGCCGCGUGCAGGAAGAAGGUUUUCGGAUUGUAAACUGCUUUAGACAGGGAAGAAAGAAAUGACAGUACCUGUAGAAUAAGCUCCGGCUAACUACGUGCCAGCAGCCGACGGUAAUCUGAGGCGGGCUGGCAAGGC